GAAAUGCGAUAAGUAAUGUGAAUUGCAGAAUUCUGUGAAUCAUCGAAUCUUUGAACGCACAUUGCGCCCUCUGGCAUUCCGGGGGGCAUGCCUGUCCGAGCGUCAUUACGCACCCUCAAGCCCGGCUUGUGUGAUGGGCCCCGGCGUCUCGUUCGCGAGACGGGCCCGAAAGGCAGCGGCGGCGUCGACCCGAUGAGCCCGAGCGUAUGGGGACUUCUGUCACACGUUCGCGGUGCGGACCGGCGCCUGCUUGACUUUUCUGAUUAUCCAGGUUGACCUCGGAUCAGGUAGGGAUACCCGCUGAACUUAAGC
RNAcentral lists this unclassified non-coding RNA (312 nucleotides) under plant metagenome. RNAcentral describes it as "partial contains 5.8S ribosomal RNA, internal transcribed spacer 2, and large subunit ribosomal RNA". The stretch from base 1 to 105 matches the Rfam family "5.8S ribosomal RNA", at positions 50 to 154 of the family's 154-position model. The record is from RNAcentral.